UGGUGCAUGGCCGUUCUUAGU
This 21-nucleotide non-coding RNA is filed under the name Arabidopsis thaliana (thale cress). The record is from RNAcentral. Lineage: Eukaryota; Viridiplantae; Streptophyta; Magnoliopsida; Brassicales; Brassicaceae. RNAcentral also lists the same sequence under 1 other name.